Molecule: unclassified non-coding RNA, 165 nt
Filed under: soil metagenome
Description: partial internal transcribed spacer 1
Source: RNAcentral
CACAAAUAUGAAGGCGGGCUGGAACCUCUCGGGGCUUACAGCCUUGCUGAAUUAUUCACCCUUGUCUUUUGCGUACUUCUUGUUUCCUUGGUGGGUUCGCCCACCACUAGGACAAACAUAAACCUUUUGUAAUUGCAAUCAGCGUCAGUAACAAAUUAAUAAUUA